CCUACGGGUGGCAGCAGUAGGGAAUCUUCCACAAUGGGCGAAAGCCUGAUGGAGCAACGCCGCGUGGGUGAAGAAGGUCUUCGGAUCGUAAAACCCUGUUGUUAGAGAAGAAAGUGCGUUAGAGUAACUGUUCACGUUUCGACGGUAUCUAACCAGAAAGCCACGGCUAACUACGUGUCAGCAGCCGCGGUAAUCCGUAGGUGGCAAGCGUUAUCCGGAUUUAUUGGGCGUAAAGGGAACGCAGGCGGGCUGUUAAUUAUGAUGUGAAAGACUUCGGCUUAACCGGAGUAGUGCAUGGGAACGUGGGAGACGUGAGUGCAGAAGAGGAGAGGGGAACGCCAUGUGUAGCGGGGAAAUGAGUAGAGAUAUGGAAGAACACCAGUGGCGAAAGCGGCUCUCUGGUCUGUAACUGACGCUGAGGUUCGAAAGCGUGGGUAGCAAACAGGAUUAGAUACCCGAGUAGUC
Molecule: ribosomal RNA, 465 nt
Filed under: uncultured bacterium
Lineage: Bacteria
Description: partial 16S ribosomal RNA
Rfam family: Bacterial small subunit ribosomal RNA
Source: RNAcentral